UUCUGAUCAAAAGCUUGUUUUGCUGCCUGCCCCAUGGCGAUUGACAGUUCAGAGAGAGGAUGCAUGAAGGCUUCCCAGUGUUUGGAGGAACCAUAGAGGACCCUGACAAAUGAUGCUACUUUACCACU
RNAcentral lists this small nucleolar RNA (128 nucleotides) under Microtus ochrogaster (prairie vole). Its description in RNAcentral is "Small nucleolar RNA SNORA71 (ENSMOCG00000002990.1)". Lineage: Eukaryota; Metazoa; Chordata; Mammalia; Rodentia; Cricetidae. The record is from RNAcentral.